RNAcentral lists this ribosomal RNA (490 nucleotides) under uncultured bacterium. Its description in RNAcentral is "partial 16S ribosomal RNA". It matches the Rfam family "Bacterial small subunit ribosomal RNA", at positions 29 to 507 of the family's 1533-position model. The record is from RNAcentral.
AAUGAAUGCUGGCGGCAUGCCUUACACAUGCAAGUCGAACGGCAGCAUGACCUAGCUUGCUAGGUUGAUGGCGAGUGGCGAACGGGUGAGUAAUGCAUCGGAACGUGCCUUUUAGUGGGGGAUAACGUAGCGAAAGUUACGCUAAUACCGCAUAUUCUCUGAGGAGGAAAGCAGGGGACCUUCGGGCCUUGCGCUAGAAGAGCGGCCGAUGUCGGAUUAGCUAGUUCGUGAGGUAAAGGCUCACCAAGGCAACGAUCCGUAGCGGGUCUGAGAGGAUGAUCCGCCACACUGGGACUGAGACACGGCCCAGACUCCUACGGGAGGCAGCAGUGGGGAAUUUUGGACAAUGGGCGCAAGCCUGAUCCAGCCAUGCCGCGUGAGUGAAGAAGGCCUUCGGGUUGUAAAGCUCUUUCGGCUGGGAAGAAAUCGCACCCUCUAAUACAGGGUGUGGAUGACGGUACCAGCAUAAGAAGCACCGGCUAACUACGUG